Homo sapiens (human) is the source of this 489-nucleotide long non-coding RNA. Ensembl annotates it as IQCA1 antisense RNA 1. Its record names the gene IQCA1-AS1. Lineage: Eukaryota; Metazoa; Chordata; Mammalia; Primates; Hominidae. The record is from Ensembl.
AAUCCCAGAGCUCUUGUGAAGUUACUUUCAUCUAUGGAUGGUUAUUAAAUUGGUGUUUUCAGCUUACAGUGAAAGAUCUUCAGAACACCAAUUCAGUUGCCUUCAGGGUUAAACCAUAAUAUCAACACAAAAUGGAUCAAGAGCCAGUCAUCCUAAAAAGACCACAUGCAUGGCCCCUGAUCUAGCAAAAGUAGUCACAAAUGCAGCUGAAUGUGUGGAAACCUCUAAGAGAAAAUGUGUGAAUCACAGAAAGAGUGGCUCCAGUCAUGGAACGUGGAGAAAGCUGCCACAGAAGCAAAGGCUGCCUAUGCUCAUGCCAGCACUGACAGGGAGAACUCUCCGCCCUCUACCUUGGGUAUUCUGGCUCCAAUGACAGGGCUGUCUCUGGAAUGAAGUUCUGGAUCAUAGUCCUGAGAGAAAUUCCAAGACUCAUCUUUUUUCAUCCAGAUUUCUACACUCCAGAAGGGUAAAGAAAAAGAAAAAGAAAAA